This 29-nucleotide small RNA is filed under the name Bombyx mori (domestic silkworm). RNAcentral describes it as "ovarian small RNA-21713". The record is from RNAcentral. Lineage: Eukaryota; Metazoa; Arthropoda; Insecta; Lepidoptera; Bombycidae.
UACUUUGAUGUUAUGGAUCCAGUUUUGGA